RNAcentral lists this ribosomal RNA (477 nucleotides) under uncultured bacterium. RNAcentral's name for it is "bacterial SSU rRNA". It matches the Rfam family "Bacterial small subunit ribosomal RNA", at positions 25 to 518 of the family's 1533-position model. The record is from RNAcentral.
CAGGACGAACGCUGGCGGCGUGCCUAACACAUGCAAGUCGAACGGAGUCAGGAAGCUUGCUUUUGACUUAGUGGCGGACGGGUGAGUAACGCGUGAGUAACCUGCCUCUGAGAGGGGAAUAACGUUCUGAAAAGAACGCUAAUACCGCAUAACGUAUCGAAGCCGCAUGACUUGAUACCAAAGAUUUUAUCGCUCGGAGAUGGACUCGCGUCCGAUUAGUUAGUUGGUGAGGUAACGGCUCACCAAGACCGCGAUCGGUAGCCGGACUGAGAGGUUGAUCGGCCACAUUGGGACUGAGACACGGCCCAGACUCCUACGGGAGGCAGCAGUGGGGGAUAUUGCGCAAUGGGGGCAACCCUGACGCAAGCAACGCCGCGUGAAGGAUGAAGGUUUUCGGAUUGUAAACUUCUUUUAUCAGGGACGAAGCUUGACGGUACCUGAUGAAUAAGCUCCGGCUAACUACGUGCCAGCAGCUGC